GGCUCAGGAUGAACGCUGGCGGUAUGCUUAACACAUGCAAGUCGAACGGGGUUCUUAGGAACUUAGUGGCGGACGGGUGAGUAACGCGUGAGAAUUUGGCUUCAGGUCGGGGACAACAGUUGGAAACGACUGCUAAUACCGGAUGCCGGAAGGUGAAAGGCUUACUGCCUGAAGAUAAGCUCGCGUCUGAUUAGCUAGUUGGUAGUGUAAGGGACUACCAAGGCGACGAUCAGUAGCUGGUCUGAGAGGAUGAUUAGCCACACUGGGACUGAGACACGGCCCAGACUCCUACGGGAGGCAGCAGUGGGGAAUUUUCCGCAAUGGGCGAAAGCCUGACGGAGCAAUACCGCGUGAGGGAGGAAGGCUCUUGGGUCGUAAACCUCUUUUCUCAAGGAAGAAGAAAGUGACGGUACUUGAGGAAUAAGCAUCGGCUAACUCCGUGCCAGCAGCCGCGGUAAUACGGAGGAUGCAAGCGUUAUCCGGAAUGAUUGGGCGUAAAGGGUCCGCAGGUGGUACUGUAAGUCUGCUGUUAAAGAGUCUGGCUCAACCAGAUAAAAGCAGUGGAAACUACAGAACUAGAGUGCGUUCGGGGCAGAAGGAAUUCCUGGUGUAGCGGUGAAAUGCGUAGAUAUCAGGAAGAACACCGGUGGCGAAAGCGUUCUGCUAGGCCGCAACUGACACUGAGGGACGAAAGCUAGGGGAGCGAAUGGGAUUAGAUACCCCAGUAGUCCUAGCCGUAAACGAUGGAUACUAGGCGUGGCUUGUAUCGACCCGAGCCGUGCCGGAGCUAACGCGUUAAGUAUCCCGCCUGGGGAGUACGCACGCAAGUGUGAAACUCAAA
RNAcentral lists this ribosomal RNA (841 nucleotides) under uncultured bacterium. RNAcentral describes it as "bacterial SSU rRNA". It matches the Rfam family "Bacterial small subunit ribosomal RNA", at positions 21 to 905 of the family's 1533-position model. The record is from RNAcentral.